GGUUAAGCGACUAAGCGUACACGGUGGAUGCCCUGGCAGUCAGAGGCGAUGAAGGACGUGCUAAUCUGCGAUAAGCGCCGGUAAGGUGAUAUGAACCGUUAUAACCGGCGAUUUCCGAAUGGGGAAACCCAGUGUGACUCG
Molecule: ribosomal RNA, 141 nt
Filed under: Salmonella enterica subsp. enterica serovar Oranienburg
Lineage: Bacteria; Pseudomonadati; Pseudomonadota; Gammaproteobacteria; Enterobacterales; Enterobacteriaceae
Also listed under: 4 other names
Description: partial 23S ribosomal RNA
Rfam family: Bacterial large subunit ribosomal RNA
Source: RNAcentral